Molecule: ribosomal RNA, 468 nt
Filed under: uncultured bacterium
Lineage: Bacteria
Description: partial 16S ribosomal RNA
Rfam family: Bacterial small subunit ribosomal RNA
Source: RNAcentral
GACGAACGCUGGCGGCGUGCUUAACACAUGCAAGUCGAACGGAAAGGCCCUGCUUUUGUGGGGUGCUCAAGUGGCGAACGGGUGAGUAACACGUGAGUAACCUGCCCUUGACUUUGGGAUAACUUCAGGAAACUGGGGCUAAUACCGGAUAGGAGCUCCUGCUGCAUGGUGGGGGUUGGAAAGUUUCGGCGGUUGGGGAUGGACUCGCGGCUUAUCAGCUUGUUGGUGGGGUAGUGGCUUACCAAGGCUUUGACGGGUAGCCGGCCUGAGAGGGUGACCGGCCACAUUGGGACUGAGAUACGGCCCAGACUCCUACGGGAGGCAGCAGUGGGGAAUAUUGCACAAUGGGCGGAAGCCUGAUGCAGCAACGCCGCGUGCAGGAUGACGGCCUUCGGGUUGUAAACCGCUUUCGCCUGUGACGAAGCGUGAGUGACGGUAAUGGGUAAAGAAGCACCGGCUAACUACGUG